UCCAUCGCCGUCCAGCCCUGGCAGACCUAGCAUUCAUUCGCCGCCCACCUCCACGGCGCGAGAGACAGGAUCGAGCGAGAGCGCCAUGACACCGCUAGGUGCGCAGCAGCUCGCCGCAUCCUUCAGCUCACCGCACGGUGUACAGAUCGAACGUUUGGAAACUCACAAAAUCCACAUCGAAAUAUGUUCUGUGAUUUAUCUAGCACACACCAUUGGAAGCCCAAAAAACCACAAAAUGCAAUAUUACAGAGCUCAGCCAG
Molecule: long non-coding RNA, 260 nt
Organism: Lolium rigidum
Lineage: Eukaryota; Viridiplantae; Streptophyta; Magnoliopsida; Poales; Poaceae
Exons: 3
Source: RefSeq, a predicted model, not a curated record